Molecule: ribosomal RNA, 468 nt
Filed under: uncultured bacterium
Lineage: Bacteria
Description: partial 16S ribosomal RNA
Rfam family: Bacterial small subunit ribosomal RNA
Source: RNAcentral
GACGAACGCUGGCGGCGUGCUUAACACAUGCAAGUCGAACGGAAAGGCCCUGCUUUUGUGGUGUGCUCGAUUGGCGCACGGGUGAGUAACACGUGAGUAACCUGCCCUUGACUUUGGGAUAACUUCAGGAAACUGGGGCUAAUACCGGAUAGGAUCUCCUGCUGCAUGUUGUUGGUUGGAAAGUUUCGGCGGUUGUGGAUGUACUCGCGGCUUAUCAGCUUGUUUGUGGGGUAGUGGCUUACCAAGCCUUUGAAGGAUAGCCGGCCUGAGAGGGUGACCGGCCACAUGGGGACUGAGAUACGGCCCAGACGGCUACGUGAGGCAGCAGUGGGGAAUAUGGCAGAAUGGGCCGAAGUCUGAUGCAGAAACGCCGCGUGCGGGAUGAAGGCUUUCGGGGUGUAAACAGAUUUGGCCGGUGACGAAGAGUGAGUGACGGUAAUGGGUAAAGAAGCACCGGCUAACUACGUG